UAUGAUCUGGCUGAAGUGUAAGCAGAAGGUUUUUAAUCUUCUCAUAGAGAAA
This 52-nucleotide transfer RNA is filed under the name Cylisticus convexus. RNAcentral's name for it is "tRNA-Lys". Lineage: Eukaryota; Metazoa; Arthropoda; Malacostraca; Isopoda; Cylisticidae. The record is from RNAcentral.